RNAcentral lists this ribosomal RNA (466 nucleotides) under uncultured bacterium. Its description in RNAcentral is "bacterial SSU rRNA". It matches the Rfam family "Bacterial small subunit ribosomal RNA", at positions 330 to 793 of the family's 1533-position model. The record is from RNAcentral.
UCCAGACUCCUACGGGAGGCAGCAGUGAGGAAUAUUGGUCAAUGGCCGGAAGGCUGAACCAGCCAAGCCGCGUGAAGGACGAAGGUGCCAAGCAUUGUAAACUUCUUUUGUCAAGGGACAAAAUCAGGCUCGAGAGCCUGACCGAGGGUACUUGAAGAAAAAGCAUCGGCUAACUCCGUGCCAGCAGCCGCGGUAAUACGGAGGAUGCGAGCGUUAUCCGGAUUCACUGGGCGUAAAGGGAGCGCAGGCGGCAUGGCAAGUCUGAUGUGAAAACCCGGGGCCCAACCCCGGGAGUGCAUUGGAAACUGCCAGGCUGGAGCGUCGGAGGGGUAAGCGGAAUUCCUAGUGUAGCGGUGAAAUGCGUAGAUAUUAGGAGGAACACCAGUGGCGAAGGCGGCUUACUGGACGACUACUGACGCUGAGGCUCGAAAGCGUGGGGAGCAAACAGGAUUAGAUACCCUCGUAU